Molecule: transfer RNA, 78 nt
Filed under: compost metagenome
Description: tRNA-Ile
Rfam family: tRNA
About the family: Transfer RNA (tRNA) molecules are approximately 80 nucleotides in length. Their secondary structure includes four short double-helical elements and three loops (D, anti-codon, and T loops). Further hydrogen bonds mediate the characteristic L-shaped molecular structure. tRNAs have two regions of fundamental functional importance: the anti-codon, which is responsible for specific mRNA codon recognition, and the 3' end, to which the tRNAs corresponding amino acid is attached (by aminoacyl-tRNA synthetases). tRNAs cope with the degeneracy of the genetic code in two manners: having more than one tRNA (with a specific anti-codon) for a particular amino acid; and 'wobble' base-pairing, i.e. permitting non-standard base-pairing at the 3rd anti-codon position.
Source: RNAcentral
GCGCGCAUAGCUCAGUUGGUUCAGAGCACACGACUGAUAAUCGUGAGGUCGAAGGUUCAAGUCCUUCUGCACGCACCA